This 253-nucleotide ribosomal RNA is filed under the name uncultured bacterium. RNAcentral's name for it is "partial 16S ribosomal RNA". It matches the Rfam family "Bacterial small subunit ribosomal RNA", at positions 524 to 776 of the family's 1533-position model. The record is from RNAcentral.
UACGUAGGGUGCAAGCGUUAAUCGGAAUUACUGGGCGUAAAGCGUGCGCAGGCGGUUUUGUAAGACUGUCGUGAAAUCCCCGGGCUUAACCUGGGAAUGGCGAUGGUGACUGCAAGGCUAGAGUUUGGCAGAGGGGGGUAGAAUUCCACGUGUAGCAGUGAAACGCGUAGAUAUGUGGAGGAACACCGAUGGCGAAGGCAGCCCCCUGGGUCAAAACUGACGCUCAUGCACGAAAGCGUGGGGAGCAAACAGG